UCUGGGGUACAUGGUUUCCUAAUCACCACCUCUGAGGGAGUACCAACACUCCAGCUAUUCCAAAGGACCCUCAAUAAGCUAUUACAUUCCCCAAGGGCCCCCAUUCAUAAAGGCCACAGUAUGCAAACUCCUGGUUUCCAUUAUGAGCUGUCACCUCCUACGUAGAAUCGAACUGCCGCACACUGCCUUGGGCCCUGGCCACACAGCAGCCACAAGCCCUCUGGGAGACCCUCCUUGGAGCCCUGUGGAAACAGACACAAAACAUCCCUUCUGGUCUCCAAUCUGCAAAGCUACAGAUUCUAGAAAAUUGUUAAAAAUCAUCACAAAUAAGGCCUCCUUGUGGUGUGUCCACACAACAGAAUACUCUUCAGCAAUAAAGAGGAACAAACUGCUGGUCCUAUGUAAAAAUAUGGACGCAUCUCAGAAUAAUUCCACAGAGUGAAAGAAGCCAGCUAAAAAGGACUGCAGACAAUGUGGCUGUCUACAAACCGAAGAAAACAAUUUAUAGUUCGCAGAGCAGACCAGUAGCUGCCUGGGGCACAGGGCAGGAGGGAGAGGUUAUGAAGGGACACUAGGUGAAUUUCAGACAUGAUGGGCAUGUUUAUUAUCUUAAUUGUGUAAUUGUUUCACGAGCAUAUCCUUAUGCGAAACUGGACACACUGGACAUCUGAGGUAUGUGUUCACACACCUCAGGAUACGUGUUGAAGUACCAUGAAUUGUAAUUCAGGGGAAGAGAUACAAGGACAGAAUUUGAGGCAAUGACCUACAUGUGUAUAAAAUUUGGGGCAUUCUAGAUUCAGAAAAAAGAUCACAACCUAAUUGUUGAACCUCCUACCUAUGUGACAAUGGGCAGUUGUGUGCCUUUCCAAACUUAAGCUCCUGCAUUUGUAAAAUGGGGGAAAUAACAAUAAUAAGUUCCUGGGAGGGGUUUUUGCAUAGAUUUAUUCAUCUUUGCAGGCCUGCAAGGAUUAAGUGAGCCCAUAAAGGUAGUUAACAUUGAACGUAGUAGUGUAGCCAGCACAUAAGAAGCGUUCACCACUGUUAUGACACAUGUAUAUACCAGAGCUUGUAUGGAUAUAUGCUUGUGCACGUCAAUUUUUACUUAAACAUAUAAUGCACUGCAGUCCUACAUAGUAUAGGAUGACAGUGAAAUCAGAAGACACAUGAAUCAAGCUACAGAAAAAGUACUUUUAUUAUUACUGUGAUUUCUUUCCCAAACACUGUCUUAUUUUGACAGCUACACAAGGGACCACUUUCAGCCCCAUUUUCUGUAGCUAAGAAAACAGAAGAAUUGGUUUAACAGACUCAGGAAUCCUUUUUCCUUCCAGGGAGAUGCAAGAAGCCAGUUAGACACCAUUAGCUGAGUCUAUGUUUUAUUGUUAUGUGGAAGAGUGAUUAAAUAGGCUAAGGAAAAAAUUUAGAAAGUGUACCAAGUUGGAGUUUCAGCAAAACGCCCAAGGAAAUUGUAUGGAGGAAAAAAAAAAAUACACAAAUCUAUGUACUGAAAAUCUGUGGAAAUUUCUGAUCUUUUAAGCGUAGAAGUUCCCCCAAGAGCGGCAGAGAAUGUUAUGUAAAUGUGACUGGUUUUUAACAUAAAGAAAGUGAUUUAUGUGAAGAGCAUGUUUUUCUGCAAAUCAUUGUUCAUACACCUCUCUUCUCUGCUCAGCUACCACAAGCAGGAGGUUCCCCAGGAGUUCGUGGCAGAUCAGACUUGAUGCUUAAAAUACACUAUUUCUGAAGAAAGCUGUGGUCUGAGCAAAGGUGUGACAUACAGGAAGCCGCUGUUACAAUUUGGUCUGGGCCACAUUUGUUUUACAAGUUAGGUAUCUGUGCAAACUUCAUUUGUCAGACUGAAUCGUGUUAGAAACAAGGAAAUAAUCACCAAUGAAAGUAAUGAAAAGCUCAAGCCUCAGGGGCUGCACGGCAUGCGGUGCUAAAGGACUUCUAAAGUUGACCAACCCAUGAAACAUAGAGCUUGAAGUCUUAGCAUAAUCACGGUAAUGAGACCAUCUAUCAAGAGAACAUUCCUUUCCUUGAAAAUAAAAAUUUCCCUAAAAACAAGUUCUUGCCCAACAGAUAACAUAUGUUGCUCAUACAUUCAUUAUUCCUAAGGUCCCAACCA
Molecule: long non-coding RNA, 2122 nt
Organism: Fukomys damarensis (Damara mole-rat)
Lineage: Eukaryota; Metazoa; Chordata; Mammalia; Rodentia; Bathyergidae
Source: Ensembl